Molecule: transfer RNA, 69 nt
Filed under: Conasprella wakayamaensis
Lineage: Eukaryota; Metazoa; Mollusca; Gastropoda; Neogastropoda; Conidae
Description: tRNA-Asp
Source: RNAcentral
AAAGAAUUAGUUAAAUUAUAAUAUAAGGUUGUCAGCCUUACGUUACUAAAUCAAUCUUAGUAUUCUUUG